UGGUAGAUCUGAUGGUGGUGAUGGAGGUGACGAUAACACUGAUGUUCAUUAUCGUAAGAUGAUUGAAGCUAAUCCUGGAAAUGGGAUUUUUCUCAGUAAUUAUGCUAAAUUCCUGAAGGAGGUACAGAUUUGUGUACUUUCUAGAUCUGAAUUGAAUUGAAAUUUUGAUUUGGCGAUUAUCAUAUUGAGAUGUGUCGUAUGAUUGAUUGAAACAGGUUAGAAAAGAUUACUUGAAAGCAGAGGAAUAUUGUGGGAGAGCUAUUCUGGUGAGUCCUAAUGAUGGGAAUGUUCUGGCUAUGUACGCUGAGUUGGUUUGGAAGAUCCAUAAGGAUUCAUCUCGUGCUGAGAAUUACUUCAAUCAAGCUGUUGCAGCUGCUCCUGAGGACUGGUAAGAAAAAGAUUCUAACUUUAUUAAUCAAGCUCUCUUCUUUAGGACUUUGAUAGUAGUUGUGUGACUCUUGUGCUUGAAUUCUGACUAACGUACUUGUUGUUUUCUGCAGUUAUGUACAAGCUUCGUAUGCACGGUUUCUAUGGG
RNAcentral lists this long non-coding RNA (535 nucleotides) under Arabidopsis thaliana (thale cress). RNAcentral's name for it is "long non-coding RNA (ATHA_LNC000394)". The record is from RNAcentral. Lineage: Eukaryota; Viridiplantae; Streptophyta; Magnoliopsida; Brassicales; Brassicaceae.